UUCACUGCCUUUCCUUGCAAGGAACAGAGGGAGAGCUUGUUCCAGCAGACGGGCCCCAUCCGCUCCUCCCGUCCGAGGGCUGGGAAGAAGGGAUGGAGGCGAACGAACUCUCCCACCCCUCCGGGGCCCCGCGGACGCGCUGCUUCCCAGAAAAUACGGUAAAAAGCCUUCAGCCUAAAAAUAUGCCCUAAACCUUGACGACGACCUAUUUUCCCUUCUGUUGUGCAAAGCUUCUUUCCUAGAAAGCGGCUUUGCAAUUCUCGGUCCAACCAGCCGAGCUCUCCUCAGCAUGUGAGCAGGGAAUCCAGCUCCAAAUGGCUGGCAGGUUUAGCUGAGCUCCAGCACACCCCGAACCCACACGCAGAUGAGCUGGGAGACGUGGUCGGAUGCUACCUGAGGCUGUCCUGUGAGACUGCCUGCUCCGAGGGAGCAGAUGAGCAGCAGUCAGCCUUCGGACCCAGUGCUCACAACUCACUUUUCCUUAUUUCUCAUUCAUCCGUUUGCUUCUGCUGCAGCAGACAGCAGAGCGAGGAGAAAGCUUUUCUUUCCUGCAAGGAUUUCUCCCCUCUUUCUGCUCUCACUGUUCCUGAGCACAGAAAAUACCUGAUUGUCUUUUUUUUUCUUUUAAUUUCCCAUUUUGAAAAAAAGGGAUUAUUUCCUAAAUAAUUCUCCCCACAAUAAUUCCCAGUUUUCAGGGUGACUGCUCCUUUGGCAGAGGGAAAACAAGAAAGAAGAGGAACAAAUGUAACAAGAAACAGUGGUAACAAGAGAAACUACUGUUCAAAUUGGCUUCUGCAGAGCACAGUUUGCACCCAGAGCAGCACCGUGCUUUGCUCAUGGCUCCCAUCCUCUUCUCAGCUGCCCCUUUGCCCAAGGGCUCUUUAUCCUUGCUGCUUCCCAGUGCCAGAGUCGUGCUUGGGUUGACAGCAGCACAGGUGCUGUCUCUUUCUCUGCUCACUUAAGUUUUCCACUAUUUAUUUUCUUCUCCAUGCCUAACCUACCACCCAGGGUUUUUUUUAAGUUAACUCAAACUCAGUGCUGAUUUAUUUUAAGGUGCCAGGCUGUAACCUGAAGCCAGAGACAUAAAAUUAGCCUUGCAAGCUCCAGUUAGCCAGCUGGGAGCACAGGUUAGGGAUUCAUCCGACAGCAGCAAUGGUUUGGGUUGAAGAUUACUGCUUGCUCCCUCCUGCAGCUUGGCUUUGUAGCCAACCCUGCUCUUGUCCAGAUGGAUGAACUGCUCUGUGUGGAAGCAAAACACACGGCGUGAAGUCUGAUGUACCAGGGACAGGGGCUGUUAAUGAAGCAACUCAUGAACCUUCCAACACAUACACAUGCACACACAUGCUUUGUCCAAACAGCUGAAGUCACCAAACUUACCUUUACUACCAGGGCCUCCCAGCAUUGUGGUUGUGAUGUCCACGCUGGAGCAUGGCUGCUAUAUGCAUCUGACCUGCAGAGAUGCUGGAGGAGAUCCGGGUCACCCAAAUGCCAGAGAAAUGACACAUUUGUGGUGCAUCAGCACUUUCCUUGGCUGGAGAUAGCAAGGUACCUGUCGUGAACUGUGUGGAGCUGAGAAAGCAAAGGGAUGUAGAGGCCUAUUGAAACCCUCCUAAAAAAGUGUUACCAGUCUGAGAUUAUAAAGGGAGUGAGCUACUGGGAGCACUAACUGAUCUCCUUGCUGCUCAGGAAGCCAUAGGACUGGUGCUUAGAAGAACAGUUGAUUCUCCUAAGUGUCCUGACCUUCUCUAGAUGUACAACCAACAGUCCGUGUAUGGAUUCUCUUGUGUCCAUUGUCAUAGAUUGGCUUGGGUUGAAAGAAACCACAGAGACCAUCCAGUUCCAGCUCCCUGCAUGGGUAGGGAUACCUCCCAAUACCUUCAGCCCAGGGACUUGACCACCUCCAAGGAUAGGUAAUCACUUCCUGUGAAAUAACAUGAUUCCUAUUGUAACUACACAACUUAUGCCUGGAAAACCCAAGGAGUCCUUGACUGAAGCUUUCCUUUGAAUUUCAGUAGCCCUGCAAAUAAUUCUCCUAGGUUUGCAGAGGAGUUCUGAACGUGGCAUUAGUCUGAGUUGAUAUGAAAUAACGUGGUCUCUGGGAGAGUGUUA
This is a long non-coding RNA of Tympanuchus pallidicinctus (lesser prairie-chicken), 2109 nucleotides long. RefSeq lists it as uncharacterized. NCBI's taxonomy places the organism in Eukaryota, Metazoa, Chordata, Aves, Galliformes, Phasianidae. The transcript is spliced from 2 exons. The record is from RefSeq and is a predicted model, not a curated record.